GUCUAUAACGACUCUCGGCAACGGAUAUCUCGGCUCUCGCAUCGAUGAAGAACGUAGCGAAAUGCGAUACUUGGUGUGAAUUGCAGAAUCCCGUGAACCAUCGAGUCUUUGAACGCAAGUUGCGCCCCAAGCCUUCUGGCCGAGGGCACGUCUGCCUGGGUGUCACAAA
RNAcentral lists this ribosomal RNA (169 nucleotides) under Arabis kamelinii. Its description in RNAcentral is "5.8S ribosomal RNA". It matches the Rfam family "5.8S ribosomal RNA". Rfam says of the family: 5.8S ribosomal RNA (5.8S rRNA) is a component of the large subunit of the eukaryotic ribosome. Lineage: Eukaryota; Viridiplantae; Streptophyta; Magnoliopsida; Brassicales; Brassicaceae. RNAcentral also lists the same sequence under 2 other names. The record is from RNAcentral.